RNAcentral lists this ribosomal RNA (479 nucleotides) under uncultured bacterium. RNAcentral describes it as "bacterial SSU rRNA". It matches the Rfam family "Bacterial small subunit ribosomal RNA", at positions 30 to 507 of the family's 1533-position model. The record is from RNAcentral.
AUUGAACGCUGGCGGCAUGCCUAACACAUGCAAGUCGAACGGUAACAGGCCUUCGGGCGCUGACGAGUGGCGGACGGGUGAGUAACGCGUGGGAAUCUGCCUAGUAGUGGGGGACAACCUGGGGAAACUCAGGCUAAUACCGCAUACGCCCUACGGGGGAAAGCAGGGGAUCUUCGGACCUUGCGCUAUUAGAUGAGCCUGCGUCGGAUUAGCUUGUUGGUGGGGUAAAGGCCUACCAAGGCGACGAUCCGUAGCUGGUUUGAGAGGACGAUCAGCCACACUGGGACUGAGACACGGCCCAGACUCCUACGGGAGGCAGCAGUGGGGAAUAUUGGACAAUGGGGGCAACCCUGAUCCAGCAAUGCCGCGUGUGUGAAGAAGGCCUGCGAGUUGUAAAGCACUUUCAGUAGAGAAGAAAGCCUGGGAUAAUACCCCGGGUCUUGACGUAACCUACAGAAGAAGCACCGGCUAACUCCGUG